Cryptotermes secundus is the source of this 932-nucleotide long non-coding RNA. RefSeq lists it as uncharacterized. The transcript is spliced from 3 exons. The record is from RefSeq and is a predicted model, not a curated record. NCBI's taxonomy places the organism in Eukaryota, Metazoa, Arthropoda, Insecta, Blattodea, Kalotermitidae.
CUCUGACACCUGUCAUGUCUCCUGUACACGGUUCAUUCAAGGCAGCCAUCCUCAGCUGGAAGUACAUGUGGUCAGUCAUGUUAUGGGGUUGGCUGCCCUAUCGGUGUGACCUCAAUUUCCUGUGUCCAACAAUAAGCUUAUGUUAUGCAAGCAAACAGCGGUAACCCAAAUCACCAUACAGCAGAUCUCAUUGGACAUGUGACUUCUCUUCUGUGAGGCUGCCUACUCAAAAUAUGAUGUAUUCUCAGAGAUGGUUCCAGCAGACAAUAUUAAAACUGUAAUCCACUUUAAAUAAGCAUAUGCCUGGAUGUACUAGAAUGUAUACCAUUACUGUGAGAAAUAACUGAGGAUUGUUGGUACUGGUAAGGUUUGAACCAAUCACUGUAGCACAGAGCUAAGUUCUCUAACUGUAACCUCCUCAUUAUAUACUCAUUUACCUUCUUUAUUGCCAGUAUGUGGAAACACAGUGCCAUCUCUGGAGCAAAACAAGCAAUACUCCUCCUCAUGAAUAGCAAUGGAAAAUGUAUACUCCAUAAUGCAGUGAGCAUAAUUCCCAGUGACACUCUUUGUAGUUUAUUAAGAUUACUUGUGGCCUGUGUAUAAAAUUAUAUUAACGGUUUAUAAUUAAUUCUAUUUAUGACUGUAAGUAAACUGUACUUUAUUAUGACUCACUGUGGCUGAAAACCAGAAGUGACCAAGGACAUUUAGUAAGACUCCAAUACCAACUUUUAAAUAAAUAUGUCCUACAGUAUUGGCACUUAUACCACGUCACAGACACUAAGACAGGCACCUGUACCAGAUCACAGACAUUAAGCUCAACAGAUCUUUUCCUGUAAAGAAUACCUAAUAAUGUGAAUAAUGUAUUUUUUAUUGCUAGUGGGGUGGGACUAAGUCCCUUGUACUGUGGCCACUUCUGGCCUAUUGUACCAGCC